This 767-nucleotide ribosomal RNA is filed under the name uncultured Pseudomonadota bacterium. RNAcentral's name for it is "bacterial SSU rRNA". It matches the Rfam family "Bacterial small subunit ribosomal RNA", at positions 1 to 766 of the family's 1533-position model. The record is from RNAcentral. Lineage: Bacteria; Pseudomonadati; Pseudomonadota.
AGGGGGUUUNNUCCAUGGGCUCAGAUUGAACGCUGGCGGCAGGCCUAACACAUGCAAGUCGAGCGGAUGAGAGGAGCUUGCUCCUGGAUUCAGCGGCGGACGGGUGAGUAAUGCCUAGGAACCUGCCUGGUAGUGGGGGACAACGUUUCGAAAGGAACGCUAAUACCGCAUACGUCCUACGGGAGAAAGCAGGGGACCUUCGGGCCUUGCGCUAUCAGAUGAGCCUAGGUCGGAUUAGCCAGUUGGUGAGGUAAUGGCUCACCAAGGCGACGAUCCGUAACUGGUCUGAGAGGAUGAUCAGUCACACUGGAACUGAGACACGGUCCAGACUCCUACGGGAGGCAGCAGUGGGGAAUAUUGGACAAUGGGCGAAAGCCUGAUCCAGCCAUGCCGCGUGUGUGAAGAAGGUCUUCGGAUUGUAAAGCACUUUAAGUUGGGAGGAAGGGCAGUAAAUUAAUACUUUGCUGUUUUGACGUUACCGACAGAAUAAGCACCGGCUAACUCUGUGCCAGCAGCCGCGGUAAUACAGAGGGUGCAAGCGUUAAUCGGAAUUACUGGGCGUAAAGCGCGCGUAGGUGGUUCGUUAAGUUGAAUGUGAAAUCCCCGGGCUCAACCUGGGAACUGCAUCCAAAACUGGCGAGCUAGAGUAUGGUAGAGGGUGGUGGAAUUUCCUGUGUAGCGGUGAAAUGCGUAGAUAUAGGAAGGAACACCAGUGGCGAAGGCGACCACCUGGACUGAUACUGACACUGAGGUGCGAAAGCGUGGGG